RNAcentral lists this ribosomal RNA (233 nucleotides) under uncultured bacterium. RNAcentral describes it as "partial 16S ribosomal RNA". It matches the Rfam family "Bacterial small subunit ribosomal RNA", at positions 621 to 856 of the family's 1533-position model. The record is from RNAcentral.
UUCCGGUUGAUCCUGCCGGACUUGAAUCACAGAGGGGAAACUAGAAUUCCAGGUGUAGGGGUGGAAUCUGUAGAUAUCUGGAAGAAUACCGGUGGCGAAGGCGGGUUUCUAGCUGAUGAUUGACGCUGAGGUGCGAAAGUGCGGGGAGCAAACAGGAUUAGAUACCCUGGUAGUCCGCACCGUAAACGAUGUGCACUAGGUGUCGGGGCAUGAGUCUCGGUGCCAAAGCUAAC